This 469-nucleotide ribosomal RNA is filed under the name uncultured bacterium. Its description in RNAcentral is "bacterial SSU rRNA". It matches the Rfam family "Bacterial small subunit ribosomal RNA", at positions 329 to 794 of the family's 1533-position model. The record is from RNAcentral.
GGCCAGACUCCUACGGGAGGCAGCAGUGAGGAAUAUUGGUCAAUGGCCGGGAGGCUGAACCAGCCAAGUCGCGUGAGGGAAGACUGCCCUAUGGGUUGUAAACCUCUUUUGUCAGGGAGCAAUUGGCGCUACGUGUAGCGUUAUCGGGAGUACCUGAAGAAAAAGCAUCGGCUAACUCCGUGCCAGCAGCCGCGGUAAUACGGAGGAUGCGAGCGUUAUCCGGAUUUAUUGGGUUUAAAGGGAGCGUAGGCCGGUCUUUAAGCGUGCCGUGAAAUUUUGUGGCUCAACCAUGGGAGUGCGGCGCGAACUGGAGACCUUGAGUGCGCGGAAGGCAGGCGGAAUUCGUGGUGUAGCGGUGAAAUGCUUAGAUAUCACGAAGAACCCCGAUUGCGAAGGCAGCCUGCCGCAGCGUUACUGACGCUGAAGCUCGAAAGCGCGGGUAUCGAACAGGAUUAGAUACCCCGGUAGG